AUGGCUAGGGUGGCGGCGGUGGCCAUGUGCGCGCUGUUAGCGCUGGUGGUGGUCGGUCCGCCGUCGGUGGCAGCACAGGACUGCGAUGCGGGGAAGCUGAUCGUGUGCGCGGCGGCGAUCAUCGGCGGGGCGGAGCCGUCGGAAUCGUGCUGCUCGAACCUGAAGGCGCAGCAAGGCUGCCUCUGCAAGUACGCGAGCAACCCGGCGUAUUCCGGCUACAUCAACAGCCCCACCGCCCGCAAGACCCUCGCCUCCUGCGGCAUCCCUAUCCCGACCUGCCCGCAGUAG
RNAcentral lists this ribosomal RNA (288 nucleotides) under Triticum aestivum (bread wheat). RNAcentral describes it as "partial small subunit ribosomal RNA". The record is from RNAcentral. Lineage: Eukaryota; Viridiplantae; Streptophyta; Magnoliopsida; Poales; Poaceae.